CAGACCCCUGGUUUCACGCCCCCCUCAGCCUCCCGGCGUGCUCCCCGACCAGGGCAUGACCUGGAGGAAGUGACUGCGGCUUAACGGUAGAGGAUGUGCCCUCUGUACCCGAAGGGAGCCUCCCUGAUGCUCCUGUGAUCCUUGGCCAGGAUUCCAGGCGCCUGACCCACGGGUCCUAUUCGAGAGAUUGUGAGUGAUGGGUGAAGGCCCCAAAAAUUGUCUACAGCUUUCUUCAGGCUAUGUGUAUAACUCAGGGAAGGGGCCUCUGUAUUCAGAAGGGCAGCACCAUGAAUUUAAAAUCCUCAGCCCCCUAGAUUCCUGGACCCCAUGUCACUCCCCCACCUGCCUGCUGGACCCUGGGGCCACAGGCUGGUUUAAUUGCUGGCCUGGCUCAUGGCCCACUUCCUCCCCCAGGACAUCUACGAGAACCUGGACCUCCGGCAGAGAAGGGCCUCCAGCCCCGGAUACAUCGACUCCCCCACCUACAGCCGGCAGGGCAUGUCCCCCACCUUUUCCCGCUCGCCUCACCACUACUACCGCUCCGCUGGAGAGAGUAACAUCUACCGGAAACCCCCGAUCUACAAACGGCAUGGCGAUUUGUCAACAGCAACCAAGAGCAAAACAAGUGAAGACAUCAGCCAGGCCUCCAAGUACAGUCCAGCCUACUCACCGGACCCCUACUAUGCUGCAGAGUCCGAGUACUGGACCUACCAUGGGUCCCCCAAAGUGCCCCGAGCCAGAAGGUUCUCAUCUGGAGGAGAGGAGGACGACUUCGACCGCAGCAUGCACAAGGUGAGUGGCGUCCACCCUGGACGAGAUGCCUAGACAGGUGUUACUGAGGAUUUGAUCAUUUGCUAGUGACAGAAACCAAAUUCAAACCCACUUACGGUAGAAAAAAGAAACAUGUAGCUUUGCAUAACCCAAAAGUUAAAGGGGAGGGGAAGUUUCAGGUAUGGCUAGAUCCGGCUGUUCAGCAAAUUGCCAUAGGAAAGUUGUCUCUCUCUUCUCCUGUGCUGGCUCACCGCUGCGUUGGCCUCAUGCCCGGGGAAGGUUCUUCUUCUGUGGUGACAAGUGGGUGCCCGCAGCU
This 1087-nucleotide long non-coding RNA is filed under the name Ursus americanus (American black bear). Its description in RNAcentral is "lncRNA (ENSUAMG00000000161.1)". Lineage: Eukaryota; Metazoa; Chordata; Mammalia; Carnivora; Ursidae. The record is from RNAcentral.